RNAcentral lists this ribosomal RNA (334 nucleotides) under Escherichia coli. RNAcentral's name for it is "partial 23S ribosomal RNA". It matches the Rfam family "Bacterial large subunit ribosomal RNA", at positions 1870 to 2203 of the family's 2925-position model. Lineage: Bacteria; Pseudomonadati; Pseudomonadota; Gammaproteobacteria; Enterobacterales; Enterobacteriaceae. The record is from RNAcentral.
UGGAAGGUUAAGAGGAGCGCUUAGCUUCGGGGAAGGUACGAAUUGAAGCCCCAGUAAACGGCGGCCGUAACUAUAACGGUCCUAAGGUAGCGAAAUUCCUUGUCGGGUAAGUUCCGACCCGCACGAAAGGCGCAACGAUCUGGGCACUGUCUCAACGAGAGACUCGGUGAAAUUAUAGUACCUGUGAAGAUGCAGGUUACCCGCGACAGGACGGAAAGACCCCGUGGAGCUUUACUGCAACCUGAUAUGGAAUGUUUGUACCGCUUGUACAGGAUAGGUAGGAGCCGAAGAGACGUGUGCGCUAGCAUACGAGGAGGCAAUGGUGGGAUACUAC